AGCAGCCGCGGUAAUUCCAGCUCCAAUAGCGUAUAUUAAAGUUGUUGCAGUUAAAAAGCUCGUAGUUGAAUUUCGGGAUCAAUAUAUCGGUCGUGCCUUGGUACGUACUGGUAUCAUUGGUUUCUCCUUUCUGACGAACCAUGAUGUCAUUAAUUUGGUGUUAUGGGAAGUUAGGACUGUUACUUUGAAAAAAUUAGAGUGUUUAAAGCAGGCUUUAGCUUGAAUACAUUAGCAUGGAAUAAUGAAAUAGGACGUUCGAACCUAUUUUGUUGGUUUCUAGGAUCAACGUAAUGAUUAAUAGGGAUAGUUGGGGGCAUUAGUAUUCAAUUGUCAGAGGUGAAAUCCUUGGAUUUAUUGAAGACUAACUACUGCGAAAGCAUUUGCCAAGGAUGUUUUCAUUAAUCAAGAACGAAAGUUAGGGGAUCGAAGACGAUCAGAUACCGUCGUAGUCUUAACCAUAAACUAUGCCGACUAGGGAUCGGAUGAUGUUAAUUUUUAAUGACUCAUUCGGCGCCUUACG
This 520-nucleotide ribosomal RNA is filed under the name uncultured Glomus. Its description in RNAcentral is "SSU rRNA". It matches the Rfam family "Eukaryotic small subunit ribosomal RNA", at positions 569 to 1092 of the family's 1831-position model. The record is from RNAcentral. Lineage: Eukaryota; Fungi; Glomeromycota; Glomeromycetes; Glomerales; Glomeraceae.